GGAGAGAGCCCCAGCAGGCCUGGUUGCAGAGAGGGGCCCGAGGGUUUAAAGGGCCAUGGUUGAGUUUCUACCUGGCUCUUCCCAACCAAGGCCAACUGUGACGACUCUACACAAGACAUCAAGGCGGACCAGGAUUGGAGCAGAAGUCCAGACACCUAGCUUAAAUGGAGUCAGAAAGAACCACUAGUCAAGGCAUACAAGAAAGAAACUUAAUAAGAGUGUGAGCAGCUGCAUAGUACACACAGCCUUGGAGAAAGAAGCCCCUCAAUGGAACAUGAUGGAACUUUGAAUGGGCCUGGUUCCCAGGUGUUCCCAGUACUCAACUUCGGAGCCUCCAGCUUUAACCCACUAUGGAAACAAUCACCUGUAAUGGAUCAGGGGACUCCUCAACCACCUUCUACCUUAUGGGCAUCCCCUCUCUGCCAAAAUCCCUUUUCCUUCCUAUUUUCUUUGUCUUUCUCCUCCUCUACGUGCUCAUCCUGAUGGGUAAUACCUUUAUCCUGGUGGCUGUGGUGGCCAAGCCCAGCCUCCACAAGCCCAUGUACUUCUUCCUGAUAAACCUCUCCACCUUGGACAUUCUUGUUACCACAACCACUGUCCCCAAGAUGCUGUCCCUGUUCUUGUUUGGGGACAGCUUCCUCAGCUUCCCUGCCUGCUUCCUGCAGAUGUACCUGUUCCACAGCUUCUCCUGCUCAGAAGCCUUCAUCCUGGUGGUCAUGGCCUAUGACCGCUAUGUGGCUAUCUGCCGCCCACUGCACUACCCUGUCCUCAUGACCCCUCAGACCAACACUGUCUUGACAACCAGUGCCUGGCUCACUGCCCUCCUCCUGCCCAUUCCAGCAGUGGUACAGACCUCCCAGAUGGCAUUUGACAUCAUUGUCCACAUCUACCACUGCUUCUGUGACCACCUGGCUGUGGUCCAGGCCUCCUGCUCUGACACCACCCCCAGACCUUCAUGGGCUUCUGCAUCGCCAUGGUGGUGUCCUUCCUCCCCCUUCUGCUGGUGCUUCUCUCCUAUGCCCACAUCUUGACCUCAGUGCUUUGCAUCAACUGCCAAGAAGGACGCUCCAAAGCCUUCUCCACCUGCAGCUCCCACCUCCUGGUGGUGGGCACCUACUAUUCAUCCAUUGCCAUAGCCUAUGUGGCCUACAGGGCUGACCUGCCCCUAGACUUCCACGUCAUGGGCAAUGUGGUAUAUGCCAUUCUCACACCUGUUCUCAACCCUGUCAUCUACAAACUGAGGAACAAGGAUGUCAAAGCAGCCAUCACCAAGAUUGCAUGUCCCCAGGAGCCAAAGAAUGCUAGGAAACCCUGAUUCAAAGAAAUAACUUCAUCUUCUCUCAUAAACAUCAAUAACAUAGAGGGAAAAGUGGAAAAUUUAGAAAGCCCAGUAGUUAGAACACUCAUUCUCAAAAUAUUGUCCUAGGUAGUCCUCCAUUAUAAUAAAAUGAUAAUUUUUUUCUUAAUUCAUAGAAAAAAGAGUAGGAUUUUUAAAUUCAAUUUUAAGGUGUGAACCCCAAAUUUCACAAGACUGUGAAUAUAAUUGAGGUCACAUUACCAUUAAUUCAAACAGUUUUGAUUCUUGCAGUUUCCAAGUAUUUGAUUAGGAAGAAACUCUGUCUUUUCCCUUGGAUCUUUUCUUUCAAUGUUUCUGAAAAUCCCUUGCAUUGCCAGCUAUUAGAUAUGAAUUAUUCUUGCCCUUUUUGUUGAAAUAGCAACUUAGAUAGAAAUAUUCCUCAAUGGAAAAACUCUGAAACUGCUCCCAUCUCAAUCCUUGUUGCUUGAAAAUUCACUGCCACCACUGAUUUUCAAUGCCAGACACACAGGAAAUUUGCCUCUGCUAUCUAGACCCGCAUGAUGCCCUAGAAGCAGAGCAUGCCCCUCACCCAGCUUAUGCUCAGGCAAGCAGUGUCCCUUAGCACACCUGUUU
This is a long non-coding RNA of Homo sapiens (human), 1930 nucleotides long. Lineage: Eukaryota; Metazoa; Chordata; Mammalia; Primates; Hominidae. The record is from Ensembl.